AACUCGGAGGAAGGUGGGGACGACGUCAAGUCAUCAUGCCCCUUAUGUCCAGGGCUUCACACAUGCUACAAUGGCCGGUACAGAGGGCUGCGAUACCGUGAGGUGGAGCGAAUCCCUUAAAGCCGGUCUCAGUUCGGAUCGGGGUCUGCAACUCGACCCCGUGAAGUCGGAGUCGCUAGUAAUCGCAGAUCAGCAACGCUGCGGUGAAUACGUUCCCGGGCCUUGUACACACCGCCCGUCACGUCAUGAAAGUCGGUAACACCCGAAGCCGGUGGCCUAACCCUUGUGGAGGGAGCCGUCGAAGUGGGAUCGGCGAUUGGGACGAAGUCGUAACAAGGUAGCCGUACCGGAAGGUGCGGCUGGAUCACCUCCUUUCUAAGGAG
RNAcentral lists this ribosomal RNA (383 nucleotides) under Rhodococcus (subgen. Prescottella) equi. RNAcentral describes it as "Prescottella equi bacterial SSU rRNA". It matches the Rfam family "Bacterial small subunit ribosomal RNA", at positions 1160 to 1533 of the family's 1533-position model. Lineage: Bacteria; Bacillati; Actinomycetota; Actinomycetes; Mycobacteriales; Nocardiaceae. The record is from RNAcentral.